Molecule: transfer RNA, 73 nt
Organism: Aspergillus aculeatus ATCC 16872
Lineage: Eukaryota; Fungi; Ascomycota; Eurotiomycetes; Eurotiales; Aspergillaceae
Rfam family: tRNA
About the family: Transfer RNA (tRNA) molecules are approximately 80 nucleotides in length.
Source: Rfam
GGGUCGGUAGCUCAGUGGUAUGAGCAAGAGAUUGCAGAUCUCGAGGUCGCGUGUUCGAUCCACGCUCGGCCCU